AGAGUUUGAUCCUGGCUCAGGACGAACGCUGGCGGCGUGCUUAACACAUGCAAGUCGAACGGAUGAUGCUUUUGUGUUGUUAGUGGCGAACGGGUGAGUAACACGUGGGUAACCUGUCCUUCUCUUUGGGAUAAGCACUUGAAAGGGUGUCUAAUACUGAUUAUUCUGCGCGUCGCAUGGUUGUGUGGGAAAGAUUUGUUGGAGGGGGUUGGGCUCGCGGCUUAUCAGCUUGUUGGUGGGGUGAUGGCUUACCAAGGCUUUGACGGGUAGCCGGCCUGAGAGGGUGGUCGGUCACAUUGGGACUGAGAUACGGCCCAGACUCCUACGGGAGGCAGCAGUGGGGAAUAAUGCACAAUGGACGGAAGUCUGAUGCAGCGACGCCGCGUGAGGGAUGAAGGCCUUCGGGUUGUAAACCUUUUUCGCUUUUGACCAAGGCAUCAUUUUGUGGUGUUGAGGGUAUGAGGUAAAGAAGCUCCGGCUAACUACGUGCCAGCAGCCGCGGUAAUACGUAGGGAGCGAGCGUUGUCCGGUUUUAUUGGGCGUAAAGGGCUUGUAGGUGGCUUGUCGCGUCUGCCGUGAAAUUCCGCAGCUUAACUGUGGUAGUGCGGUGGGUACGGGCUGGCUUGAGUGUGGUAGGGGAGACUGGAAUUCCUGGUGUANCGGUGGAAUGCGCANAUAUCANGAGGAACACCGGUGGCGAAGGCGGUCUCUGGGCCAUUACUGACNCUGAGGAGCGAAAGCGUGGGGAGCNAACAGGAUUANAUACCCUGGUAGUCCNCNCUGUAANCGUUGGGCANUAGGUGGGGGNCCUGUCAUGGGUUUUGCGCCGACGCUAACGCAUUAAGUGCCCCGCNUGGGGAGUACGGUCGCAAGGCUAAAACUCAAAGGAAUUGACGGGGGCCCGCACAAGCGGCGGAGCAUGCGGAUUAAUUCGAGGCAACGCGAAGAACCUUACCAAGGCUUGACAUAGCCAGAAGCUCUCAGAGAUGGGGGUCUUUGCUGGUGUACAGGUGGUGCAUGGUUGUCGUCAGCUCGUGUCGUGAGAUGUUGGGUUAAGUCCCGCAACGAGCGCAACCCUUGUCCUAUGUUGCCAGCACUUGGUGUGGGGACUCAUGGGAGACUGCCGGGGUUAACUCGGAGGAAGGUGGGGAUGACGUCAAAUCAUCAUGCCCCUUAUGUCUUGGGCUUCACGCAUGCUACAAUGGCUGGUACAGAGGGUUGCGAUACUGUGAGGUGGAGCGAAUCCCUUAAAGCUGGUCUCAGUUCGGAUCGGAGUCUGCAACUCGACUUCGUGAAGGUGGAGUCGCUAGUAAUCGCAGAUCAGCUCGCUGCGGUGAAUACGUUCUCGGGCCUUGUACACACCGCCCGUCACGUCAUGAAAGUUGGUAACACCCGAAGCGCAUGGCUUAACCGUUGGGGGGGAGUGUGCGAAGGUGGGAUUGGCGAUUGGGACGAAGUCGUAACAAGGUAAC
RNAcentral lists this ribosomal RNA (1472 nucleotides) under uncultured bacterium. RNAcentral's name for it is "16S ribosomal RNA". It matches the Rfam family "Bacterial small subunit ribosomal RNA". The record is from RNAcentral.